AGAGGUUUAAGGCCAAAUGCUUGAGGAAAGCCCUGCUGUCACAAGACACAGCUCUUGGUGCUCUAUGUGCUGUAGGAGUUCACACUGGUCCAGAACCAAGGUCCACAUCCACAGAAGUGCACGGCUGAGGUUGCCUGCACUGUGGAGCCUUUGACAUCUGAUGGCCUGGCACCGUAUCUUGUGGGCCGUGAGAAUCCUCCAGUGCUCCCAGAAGCUGCUGAAGACCCUCCAUCACCAAGGAUUUGCCAGGAGGUUGAUAUGCUCCCAAGGGACUAAAAUCCAGGUUUGGGGUAUGGCUGGAUCAUCCCUGACCUUCCCCGCUCCAGGAUCACGGUGUGGAUGCCCAUCAGGAUCGGGGAAGUUAGCAGGGAAAUAUCAGGAAACUUCUGAAGGUGCUAAUUAAACAACUUUAAGUUAUAAACAUU
Long non-coding RNA from Strigops habroptila (Kakapo), 425 nucleotides. RefSeq lists it as uncharacterized. The transcript has 3 exons. The record is from RefSeq and is a predicted model, not a curated record. Lineage: Eukaryota; Metazoa; Chordata; Aves; Psittaciformes; Psittacidae.